CAGCCGCCGCGGUAAUACGUAGGGUGCGAGCGUUAAUCGGAAUUACUGGGCGUAAAGCGUGCGCAGGCGGUUAUAUAAGACAGAUGUGAAAUCCCCGGGCUCAACCUGGGACCUGCAUUUGUGACUGUAUAGCUAGAGUACGGUAGAGGGGGAUGGAAUUCCGCGUGUAGCAGUGAAAUGCGUAGAUAUGCGGAGGAACACCGAUGGCGAAGGCAAUCCCCUGGACUUGUACUGACGCUCAUGCACGAAAGCGUGGGGAGCAAACAGGAUUAGAUACCCCCGUAGUCCCUGUCUCUUAUAC
This 301-nucleotide ribosomal RNA is filed under the name uncultured bacterium. Its description in RNAcentral is "partial 16S ribosomal RNA". It matches the Rfam family "Bacterial small subunit ribosomal RNA", at positions 509 to 807 of the family's 1533-position model. The record is from RNAcentral.